Cervus elaphus (red deer) is the source of this 176-nucleotide long non-coding RNA. RefSeq lists it as uncharacterized. The record is from RefSeq and is a predicted model, not a curated record. NCBI's taxonomy places the organism in Eukaryota, Metazoa, Chordata, Mammalia, Artiodactyla, Cervidae. The transcript is spliced from 3 exons.
GGGGGGCUUCCCAGGUGGCUCAGCAGUAAAGAGUCUGCCUGCAAUGCAGGAGGCUCACGAGGCUCAGUGGUUCGAUCCUGGGUUGGGAAGAUCCCCUGGAGGAGGGCAUGGCAACCCACUCCAAUAUUCUUGCCUGGAGAAUCCCAUGGACAGAGGAGCCUGACGGGCUACAGUCC